Molecule: non-coding RNA, 73 nt
Organism: Lontra canadensis (Northern American river otter)
Lineage: Eukaryota; Metazoa; Chordata; Mammalia; Carnivora; Mustelidae
Source: the annotation of a RefSeq genome assembly
ACCUGGCUGGCUUAGUCAGUAGAGCAUGUGACUCUUAAUCUCAGGGUUGUGGGUUCGAGUCCCAUGUUGGGUG